This 470-nucleotide ribosomal RNA is filed under the name uncultured bacterium. RNAcentral describes it as "bacterial SSU rRNA". It matches the Rfam family "Bacterial small subunit ribosomal RNA", at positions 365 to 825 of the family's 1533-position model. The record is from RNAcentral.
UUCGCAAUGCCCGAAAGGGUGACGAAGCGACGCCGCGUGUGGGAAGAAGGCCUUCGGGUUGUAAACCACUGUCGGGAGUUAAGAAAUGCAAGGGUGUUAAUAGCACCCUUGCUUGACUAAGGCUCCGGAGGAAGCCACGGCUAACUCUGUGCCAGCAGCCGCGGUAAUACAGAGGUGGCAAGCGUUGUUCGGAAUUAUUGGGCGUAAAGAGCACGUAGGCGGCCUUGAAAGUCAGUUGUGAAAUCCUUCCGCUUAACGGAAGAACUGCAUCUGAUACUCCAGGGCUCGAGUGCGGGAGGGGAGAGUGGAACUUCUGGUGGAGCGGUGAAAUGCGUAGAUAUCAGAAGGAACGCCGGCGGCGAAAGCGGCUCUCUGGUCCGUAACUGACGCUGAGUGUGCGAAAGCUAGGGGAUCAAACGGGAUUAGAUACCCCGGUAGUCCUAGCCGUAAACGAUGGGCACUAAGUAGAG